GACGUAGGGCGCGAGCGUUGUCCGGAUUUAUUGGGCGUAAAGAGCUCGUAGGCGGCUUGUCGCGUCGACUGUGAAAUCCCGCGGCUCAACCGCGGGUCUGCAGUCGAUACGGGCAGGCUAGGGUUCGGUAGGGGAGACUGGAAUUCCUGGUGUAGCGGUGAAAUGCGCAGAUAUCAGGAGGAACACCGAUGGCGAAGGCAGGUCUCUGGGCCGAAAUUGACGCUGAGGAGCGAAAGCGUGGGGAGCAAACAGG
This 253-nucleotide ribosomal RNA is filed under the name uncultured bacterium. RNAcentral's name for it is "partial 16S ribosomal RNA". It matches the Rfam family "Bacterial small subunit ribosomal RNA", at positions 524 to 776 of the family's 1533-position model. The record is from RNAcentral.